CGGUGACAUGGGCGCAAGCCUGACCGCAAUGCCGCGUGCAGGAUGAAGGCCUUCGGGUUGUAAACUGCUUUUGUACGGAACGAAACGGCGAACUCUAAUACAGUUUGCUAAUGACGGUACCGUAAGAAUAAGCACCGGCUAACUACGUGCCAGCAGCCGCGGUAAUACGUAGGGUGCAAGCGUUAAUCGGAAUUACUGGGCGUAAAGCGUGCGCAGGCAGUUAUGUAAGACAGAUGUGAAAUCCCCGGGCUUAACCUGGGAACUGCAUUUGUGACUGCAUAGCUAGAGUACGGUAGAGGGGGAUGGAAUUCCGCGUGUAGCAGUGAAAUGCGUAGAUAUGCGGAGGAACACCGAUGGCGAAGGCAAUCCCCUGGACCUGUACUGACGCUCAUGCACGAAAG
Molecule: ribosomal RNA, 401 nt
Filed under: uncultured bacterium
Lineage: Bacteria
Description: bacterial SSU rRNA
Rfam family: Bacterial small subunit ribosomal RNA
Source: RNAcentral